RNAcentral lists this ribosomal RNA (468 nucleotides) under uncultured bacterium. RNAcentral describes it as "partial 16S ribosomal RNA". It matches the Rfam family "Bacterial small subunit ribosomal RNA", at positions 28 to 507 of the family's 1533-position model. The record is from RNAcentral.
GACGAACGCUGGCGGCGUGCUUAACACAUGCAAGUCGAACGGAAAGGCCCUGCUUUUGUGGGGUGCUCGAGUGGCGAACGGGUGAGUAACACGUGAGUAACCUGCCCUUGACUUUGGGAUAACUUCAGGAAACUGGGGCUAAUACCGGAUAGGAGCUCCUGCUGCAUGGUGGGGGUUGGAAAGUUUCGGCGGUUGGGGAUGGACUCGCGGCUUAUCAGCUUGUUGGUGGGGUAGUGGCUUACCAAGGCUUUGACGGGUAGCCGGCCUGAGAGGGUGACCGGCCACAUUGGGACUGAGAUACGGCCCAGACUCCUACGGGAGGCAGCGGUGGGGAACAUUGCACAAUGGGCGGAAGCCUGAUGCAGCAACGCCGCGUGCGGGAUGACGGCCUUCGGGUUGUAAACCGCUUUCGCCUGUGACGAAGCGUGAGUGACGGUAAUGGGUAAAGAAGCACCGGCUAACUACGUG